UAACAGAAAGUAGCUUGCUACUUUGCUGACGAGCGGCGGACGGGUGAGUAAUGCUUGGGAACAUGCCUUGAGGUGGGGGACAACAGUUGGAAACGACUGCUAAUACCGCAUAAUGUCUACGGACCAAAGGGGGCUUCGGCUCUCGCCUUUAGAUUGGCCCAAGUGGGAUUAGCUAGUUGGUGAGGUAAUGGCUCACCAAGGCGACGAUCCCUAGCUGGUUUGAGAGGAUGAUCAGCCACACUGGGACUGAGACACGGCCCAGACUCCUACGGGAGGCAGCAGUGGGGAAUAUUGCACAAUGGGCGCAAGCCUGAUGCAGCCAUGCCGCGUGUGUGAAGAAGGCCUUCGGGUUGUAAAGCACUUUCAGUCAGGAGGAAAGGGUGGUGGUUAAUACCCGUCAGCUGUGACGUUACUGACAGAAGAAGCACCGGCUAACUCCGUGCCAGCAGCCGCGGUAAUACGGAGGGUGCGAGCGUUAAUCGGAAUUACUGGGCGUAAAGCGUACGCAGGCGGUUUGUUAAGCGAGAUGUGAAAGCCCCGGGCUCAACCUGGGAACUGCAUUUCGAACUGGCAAACUAGAGUGUGAUAGAGGGUGGUAGAAUUUCAGGUGUAGCGGUGAAAUGCGUAGAGAUCUGAAGGAAUACCGAUGGCGAAGGCAGCCACCUGGGUCAACAC
RNAcentral lists this ribosomal RNA (675 nucleotides) under Pseudoalteromonas citrea. RNAcentral's name for it is "bacterial SSU rRNA". It matches the Rfam family "Bacterial small subunit ribosomal RNA", at positions 70 to 740 of the family's 1533-position model. Lineage: Bacteria; Pseudomonadati; Pseudomonadota; Gammaproteobacteria; Alteromonadales; Pseudoalteromonadaceae. The record is from RNAcentral.